GUGUGCAAGUCAUUGGGUAUAAAUUGGAUGAAACCUAAAGGCAUAAUUAAAAUAACUAUAAAAAAUUUUUAAAUGGGAUUAUGAGUGAUCUAAUUUAUGUAUCAUUCUUCCAUCCCGGGGCGCUCAUAUAUAAACAUGAUUUAAGCAAUUGAAUUCUCUGUUUGUGAGCGUACCUUAAGCAUACAUGCUGUGACCCGAAAGAUGGUGAACUAUACCUGAUCAAGUUGAAGUCAGGGGAAACCCUGAUGGAGGACUGAAGCAGUUCUGACGUGCAAAUCGAUUGUCAGAGUUGGGUAUAGGGGCGAAAGACCAAUCGAACCAUCUAGUAGCUGGUUCCUUCCGAAGUUUCCCUCAGGAUAGCUGGUGCAAUGAAAAUUAUAUAAAUAUAAUCUUAUCUGGUAAAGCGAAUGAUUAGAGGCCUUGGGGUCGAAACGACCUCAACCUAUUCUCAAACUUUAAAUGGGUAAGAACCUCAUCUUUCUU
This 483-nucleotide ribosomal RNA is filed under the name Symmerus annulatus. Its description in RNAcentral is "eukaryotic LSU rRNA". It matches the Rfam family "Eukaryotic large subunit ribosomal RNA", at positions 682 to 1092 of the family's 3401-position model. Lineage: Eukaryota; Metazoa; Arthropoda; Insecta; Diptera; Mycetophilidae. The record is from RNAcentral.